GAUGAACGCUGGCGGCGUGCCUAAUACAUGCAAGUCGAGCGAACAGAUGAGGAGCUUGCUCCUCUGACGUUAGCGGCGGACGGGUGAGUAACACGUGGAUAACCUACCUAUAAGACUGGGAUAACUUCGGGAAACCGGAGCUAAUACCGGAUAAUAUAUUGAACCGCAUGGUUCAAUAGUGAAAGACGGUUUUGCUGUCACUUAUAGAUGUAUCCGCGCCGCAUUAGCUAGUUGGUAAGGUAACGGCUUACCAAGGCAACGAUGCGUAGCCGACCUGAGAGGGUGAUCGGCCACACUGGAACUGAGACACGGUCCAGACUCCUACGGGAGGCAGCAGUAGGGAAUCUUCCGCAAUGGGCGAAAGCCUGACGGAGCAACGCCGCGUGAGUGAUGAAGGUCUUCGGAUCGUAAAACUCUGUUAUUAGGGAAGAACAAAUGUGUAAGUAACUAUGCACGUCUUGACGGUACCUAAUCAGAAAGCAACGGCUAACUACGUG
This 497-nucleotide ribosomal RNA is filed under the name uncultured bacterium. Its description in RNAcentral is "partial 16S ribosomal RNA". It matches the Rfam family "Bacterial small subunit ribosomal RNA", at positions 28 to 507 of the family's 1533-position model. The record is from RNAcentral.